AACACCCAUCUUUCAAACUUUAAGCCCCUCGCUCGUCACACAGGCUUUCUCUUACAAAAGUGCAGUCUUAAAAAAGUGCAGUCUCCAAGCCCCUGGAGUGGCUCUUUAAAGUUUGCCCAAACUGAUGGGAGUCUGUAGACACAAAAGACCCGUCUGCGUUCACAGGGAUCCCCAGAGCAAAACUUGCGUCUUUCUCUCGGUCUUCACGGAUCAAUUAGCGACCCUGACAUCCUCGUCACCACACGACUCUACUGACACGUGUCGAAUGGAACUGGGCCGACCGACUUCACACACUCGAGCUGAGAGUCAUUCGGUGUGUCUUUUACUUUUCUCACGUGAUAAAUGAUCACACUCACACAACAGAGCUCACCGGGCACGUUUGGGGAAUGAUGAGGUCUGCAGGUGCUCCUGUGUGCUGCGAAUUAAGAGGCGGCUUGGAAUGAUAAUGAAAAUGAUUCAGCACCAUGUGAAUUCAGUUUAUUUUGAGUUGAUCAUUCUAAAUCUACAAAUAUAACGAAAGUGCUUCAGUGCUUCGGAGAGAUAUUUUUAAAUUAAGAACUGGCACUUGAGCGUGAUCAUUCGCUGUCAUUUUGUGCCGUGGAAUAUUCUCAGCACGGAGAUGUUGUCACUUCUUUUCAUGCGGCGGGUGAAUAAGUCCUUUUUGGAGUGAAGCUGAAUGGGAGGGAGACUUUCGCUGGCAGAGCAUCAGAGAGGAGGGGAGAGGAGGGGAGAGCUGGCUGAGCACAACAAUUCACUCGGUCCUGGGGGGGGAGGAGGAGGCCUCGGGUUAAAAAUAGCAGCUGCCUCACCUGCGGUCCAUCUUCUCUACGUGAAGCGGCGACUCUUCAUGCAGCGUGCGGCGCUGGCUGUCAACCUCGGAGGCCUCGCGUGGUUAGACGGGUGUCAAAUGCCUUUCUGCCCUCCCGCCCACUGGAGCCCCCUCCCGGACUGUGCACGGGCUCCUGCAGCAUCAACCCCUCCAUGUUAAGUGCCUUGUUGGCUGAGCCUUUCACUCUGAGGCUUAUACUAUAGAGACCUGACUGGGAUUGUGUCCACACGCAGA
Molecule: non-coding RNA, 1063 nt
Organism: Paralichthys olivaceus (Japanese flounder)
Lineage: Eukaryota; Metazoa; Chordata; Actinopteri; Pleuronectiformes; Paralichthyidae
Source: RefSeq, a predicted model, not a curated record